AUUUUCGUCUGAUUCUUUUCAAAAGAGGAGCAAAAUAAAUUCUAACAACAGGGGAAAGUUAGAAGUGAACCACGUAGCUGGUUUAAAGUCAUUUGUACGACUUCGUCACGACAUGUAAGAUUCCGUCACUGGCUAGGAGCCCGGACUAGUAGACUUCUACAGAGGGACUCACUAUCGGCAGGCGACGGGAUCUUGGGUACAUCCUAGAGCAAACAAGAUUUGGGAGGAGAUGGACACCUUACGUAGUCAGCCCACUCUCGAUGGUACUUAGCGGAGUGAGCCAGAGAUCCUAAGUCAGGUGCUUGGCACCCGUUCUGGACGUGUGUGUGG
Molecule: long non-coding RNA, 330 nt
Organism: Magnolia sinica
Lineage: Eukaryota; Viridiplantae; Streptophyta; Magnoliopsida; Magnoliales; Magnoliaceae
Exons: 4
Source: RefSeq, a predicted model, not a curated record